UUUCAACAACGGAUCUCUUGGUUCCAGCAUCKAUGAAGAACGCAKCGAAAUGCGAUAAGUAAUGUGAAUUGCAGAAUUCAGUGAAUCAUCGAAUCUUUGAACGCACAUUGCGCCCCUCGGUAUUCCGGGGGGCAUGCCUGUUCGAGCGUCAUUAC
This 155-nucleotide ribosomal RNA is filed under the name Usnea articulata. RNAcentral's name for it is "5.8S ribosomal RNA". It matches the Rfam family "5.8S ribosomal RNA". Rfam says of the family: 5.8S ribosomal RNA (5.8S rRNA) is a component of the large subunit of the eukaryotic ribosome. Lineage: Eukaryota; Fungi; Ascomycota; Lecanoromycetes; Lecanorales; Parmeliaceae. The record is from RNAcentral.